Pelobates cultripes (western spadefoot toad) is the source of this 252-nucleotide non-coding RNA. The record is from the annotation of a GenBank genome assembly. Lineage: Eukaryota; Metazoa; Chordata; Amphibia; Anura; Pelobatidae.
GUCCGGUUAUUAUCUUUAUAUUAUUUUAAUGAAGUGAAAUAAUCCUUUUUAAAUCUAUAACUAGUUAUAAUAGCCCGUGUCCAUACACUACUUACUGCACAGGCUUUAUUGAAGCAUAUUGUAUAAUACAUAAGUUGCGUACCAAGUACUAGUCAUGUAACUAUAUACUGUAUCAAUAAACUCGGCUAUGUAUAGAGUAAGAUUACUAUCAUUUUAAUAUAAAUAUGGUGAACUCCGCUAGCAAUAUAUAAU